UGUGUGUGUGUGCGUGUGUGUGCGUGUGUGUGCGCGCAUGCGCGCGCGCACACACACACACACACACACACACACU
RNAcentral lists this microRNA precursor (76 nucleotides) under Podarcis lilfordi (Lilford's wall lizard). The record is from RNAcentral. Lineage: Eukaryota; Metazoa; Chordata; Lepidosauria; Squamata; Lacertidae.